This 530-nucleotide ribosomal RNA is filed under the name uncultured bacterium. RNAcentral describes it as "bacterial SSU rRNA". It matches the Rfam family "Bacterial small subunit ribosomal RNA", at positions 356 to 896 of the family's 1533-position model. The record is from RNAcentral.
GGGGAAUAUUGCACAAUGGGCGCAAGCCUGAUGCAGCGACGCCGCGUGGGGGAUGACGGCCUUCGGGUUGUAAACUCCUUUCGCCAGGGACGAAGCGUUUUGUGACGGUACCUGGAGAAGAAGCACCGGCUAACUACGUGCCAGCAGCCGCGGUAAUACGUAGGGUGCAAGCGUUGUCCGGAAUUACUGGGCGUAAAGAGCUCGUAGGUGGUUUGUCACGUCGUCUGUGAAAUUCCACAGCUUAACUGUGGGCGUGCAGGCGAUACGGGCUGACUUGAGUACUGUAGGGGUAACUGGAAUUCCUGGUGUAGCGGUGAAAUGCGCAGAUAUCAGGAGGAACACCGAUGGCGAAGGCAGGUUACUGGGCAGUUACUGACGCUGAGGAGCGAAAGCAUGGGUAGCAAACAGGAUUAGAUACCCUGGUAGUCCGUGCCGUAAACGGUGGGCGCUAGGUGUAGGGAUCUUUUGGGGUUUCUGUGCCGUAGCUAACGCAUUAAGCGCCCCGCCUGGGGAGUACGGCCGCAAGGCUA